UGGGGAAUCUUGCACAAUGGAGGAAACUCUGAUGCAGCGACGCCGCGUGAGCGAUGAAGCCCUUCGGGGUGUAAAGCUCUUUCGACGGGAACGAUAAUGACGGUACCCGAAGAAGAAGCUGCGGCUAACUACGUGCCAGCAGCCGCGGUAAUACGUAGGCAGCAAGCGUUGUUCGGAAUUACUGGGCGUAAAGAGUGUGUAGGCGGUGUUCUAAGUUUGUCGUGAAAUCUCCCGGCUUAACUGGGAGGGUGCGGCGAAAACUGGAAUGCUAGAGGAUGGGAGAGGUAAGCGGAAUUCCUGGUGUAGCGGUGAAAUGCGUAGAUAUCAGGAGGAACACCUGUGGUGUAGACAGCUUACUGGACCAUUUCUGACGCUGAGACACGAAAGCGUGGGUAGCAAACA
Molecule: ribosomal RNA, 402 nt
Filed under: uncultured bacterium
Lineage: Bacteria
Also listed under: 1 other name
Description: partial 16S ribosomal RNA
Rfam family: Bacterial small subunit ribosomal RNA
Source: RNAcentral